GUAGGGUGCGAGCGUUAUCCGGAUUUAUUGGGCGUAAAGGGUUUCGUAGGCGGUUUAGCAAGUAGUGGGUUAAAGCCCCAGGCUCAACCUGGGAAAAGCUCAUUAAACUACUAGACUAGAAAGUUGUCGGGGAAGUUGGAAUUCUGCAUGUAGGGGUGAAAUCCGUUGAUAUGCAGAAGAACACCGAGGGCGAAGGCAGACUUCUAGACAAAUUUUGACGCUAAGGAACGAAAGCUAGGGGAGCAAAUGGGAUUAGAGACCCCAGUAGUCCUAGCCGUAAACGAUGUCUGCUAGUUACUCGAGAUUUAUCUUGGGUGACGCAAGCUAACGCGUUAAGCAGACCGCCUGGGAAGUACGGCCGCAAGGCUA
RNAcentral lists this ribosomal RNA (369 nucleotides) under uncultured organism. RNAcentral describes it as "partial 16S ribosomal RNA". It matches the Rfam family "Bacterial small subunit ribosomal RNA", at positions 527 to 896 of the family's 1533-position model. The record is from RNAcentral.